GAAGAGGUUGGCAUGUCCUGAGGGAAUACCUUCACCAUGGCAACCACCACCCUCACACAUGAGCAUUACCACCAUUUGGUCACUAUAUGCAGCCCCCUGUGAAGAUAUUUUUUAUAUAAUGCAGGGUCCUCUCCAUUGGAGUGACCUCUGUUUCUUUGUCCUGCCAUCUGACCACCACCACCCCCAUAAUGAGUGGGGACAAAACCUCAACCAGAGGUUUCAAGCACAACUUAAUAUAGAGACUCCAACAGUGAAGUUGUCUCUCUUUACCUCUCAGUUAUCUGCCUUGUUGGUUCUGUCUUCAGGAUCUUCAAGGAACCAGCAACUGGAAUUGUGCCUGACACUCCACACAUACUUUUUGGAGAAAUCAGUGAACAAACCCUGGCUAUAUGAAAUUUUUUAAAAGAGGAUUUACUGGAAGGAGAAACCCACAGAAUCAAAGGAGCAGUUGAAGACUUAAAAGAACAAGCUUAGAAGGGCAGGAAUAGGAGAAGUAAAAAAAGAUCCAGGUAGCAAGAAAA
Non-coding RNA from Microcebus murinus (gray mouse lemur), 521 nucleotides. NCBI's taxonomy places the organism in Eukaryota, Metazoa, Chordata, Mammalia, Primates, Cheirogaleidae. The record is from RefSeq and is a predicted model, not a curated record.